GAUUUCUGGCUCAGUACGCCUGACCGGCCAGGGUUACCUGCGCAAGUGCCGGGCUGUACUAGCCUUUCUUUUGGGGACCGUGCAUACCCUUCACUGGGCCGUGUACGGGACUCAAAUCUUUUACUUUGAAAAAAUUAGAGUGUUUCAAGCAGGCUUUAUGCUAUGAAUACAUUAGCAUGGAAUAAUAAUUUAGGACUUCGGUUCUAUUUUGUUGGUUUCUAGGACUGAAGUAAUGAUUGAUAGGGAUAGUUGGGGGUGCUAGUAUUCAGCGGCCAGAGGUGAAAUUCUCGGAUUCGCUGAAGACUAACUUAUGCGAAAGCAUU
This 323-nucleotide ribosomal RNA is filed under the name uncultured Sandona. Its description in RNAcentral is "SSU rRNA". The stretch from base 106 to 323 matches the Rfam family "Eukaryotic small subunit ribosomal RNA", at positions 737 to 955 of the family's 1831-position model. Lineage: Eukaryota; Cercozoa; Glissomonadida. The record is from RNAcentral.